GUGGGGAAUCUUGCGCAAUGGACGAAAGUCUGACGCAGCGACGCCGCGUGGGUGAUGAAGGCCUUCGGGUUGUAAAGCCCUGUGGGGAGGGACGAAUAAGUGGUGGCUAAUAUCCACCAUGAUGACGGUACCUCCUUAGCAAGCACCGGCUAACUCUGUGCCAGCAGCCGCGGUAAGACAGAGGGUGCAAACGUUGUUCGGAAUUACUGGGCGUAAAGCGCGUGUAGGUGGCGAGGCAAGUCGGGUGUGAAAGCCCUGGGCUCAACCCAGGAAGUGCACUCGAUACUGCCUAGCUAGAGUCCCGGAGAGGUUGGUGGAACUCUCGGUGUAGAGGUGAAAUUCGUAGAUAUCGAGAAGAACACCGGUGGCGAAGGCGGCCAACUGGACGGUGACUGACACUGAGACGCGAAAGCGUGGGGAGCAAACAGGAUUAGAAACCCGUGUAGUCC
Molecule: ribosomal RNA, 449 nt
Filed under: uncultured bacterium
Lineage: Bacteria
Description: bacterial SSU rRNA
Rfam family: Bacterial small subunit ribosomal RNA
Source: RNAcentral